AACAGGUGGCAGUACACGUGGGUGUGAAUGUAAAGGAGGACCUCCUCGGCUUCCAUGAAGAAGAAGCAGAUAGCGAAGCUUGAAGACGCUGGCGGGGGCCCCGGGAAGAGUUAUCUUUUCUCCUUAACAGUCUGCCACCCUGAAAUCGGAUUGUCCGGAGCUAGGGUUCAAUGGCUGGUAGAGCCCAACAUCUCUGUCGGGUCCGGUGUGUCCUUGACAGUCCUUGAACAUCCAAGGGAACGAAUGAUUUUCGCGCCUG
Punctularia strigosozonata HHB-11173 SS5 is the source of this 259-nucleotide ribosomal RNA. It matches the Rfam family "Eukaryotic large subunit ribosomal RNA", at positions 1623 to 1840 of the family's 3401-position model. Lineage: Eukaryota; Fungi; Basidiomycota; Agaricomycetes; Corticiales; Punctulariaceae. The record is from Rfam.